This 490-nucleotide ribosomal RNA is filed under the name uncultured bacterium. RNAcentral's name for it is "partial 16S ribosomal RNA". It matches the Rfam family "Bacterial small subunit ribosomal RNA", at positions 30 to 507 of the family's 1533-position model. The record is from RNAcentral.
UGACCGCUGGCGGUGGGCCUAACACAUGCAAGUCGAACGGCAGCACAGUAAGAGCUUGCUCUUACGGGUGGCGAGUGGCGGACGGGUGAGGAAUACAUCGGAAUCUACUUUUUCGUGGGGGAUAACGUAGGGAAACUUACGCUAAUACCGCAUACGACCUACGGGUGAAAGCAGGGGAUCUUCGGACCUUGCGCGAUUGAAUGAGCCGAUGUCGGAUUAGCUAGUUGGCGGGGUAAAGGCCCACCAAGGCGACGAUCCGUAGCUGGUCUGAGAGGAUGAUCAGCCACACUGGAACUGAGACACGGUCCAGACUCCUACGGGAGGCAGCAGUGGGGAAUAUUGGACAAUGGGCGCAAGCCUGAUCCAGCCAUACCGCGUGGGUGAAGAAGGCCUUCGGGUUGUAAAGCCCUUUUGUUGGGAAAGAAAAGCAGCAGGUUAAUACCCCGCUGUUCUGACGGUACCCAAAGAAUAAGCACCGGCUAACUUCGUG